Molecule: long non-coding RNA, 2053 nt
Filed under: Salvia miltiorrhiza (redroot sage)
Lineage: Eukaryota; Viridiplantae; Streptophyta; Magnoliopsida; Lamiales; Lamiaceae
Description: long non-coding RNA (SMIL_LNC000441)
Source: RNAcentral
CUCGCUUAUCCUGCACGUUUAGAAAUACAUGCAGUGCUGAGUACAGAGUACCCAGUGGACAUAUGCCAAAAAACAAAUAAAAGCCUGCUCCUAGAGCUAUAAAUUGAACUUGCCACAUCUUAUCAGGUGGGCUUAUUUUCCAAAUGUAUGUUUGAGUAAUUAAGCUCGAAAUGUUUCAUGAAUUGAAAACUGUUUAUUCAAUAAAUAUUUUUGUGCGCUCUGUUAUGUUUAAGGCUCACAAUUCAUGGAUCGAUCGAGGUUCUCUUAUGACCUAACACGUUGUUUGAGAAUUGUAUACACUUGUUAGUUGUUUCGGUGGAUUGAUCUCCAUCGGGCACUAAUUCAUGUCAGAGGCGUUAUAAGGGUGCUUGGCUGGAUGUGUUCCGGAGCAUGUAUCAUGUAAGGCCUGCCUGGGUAGCGUCCCGAGGUCAAUUCAACUUAUCUGAAUUACGUCCUCAGGGUAAGUGUUAUGGGAAAAAGCGAUACGUUGGUGGCUAAAAGGCCCGGUAUCACAGCGAGUAACUAAAGAGAGUGUGACAAUAGCGCGCUAAUAAAAUGAAAUGUUUUAACAUGCUUAGAAGUUCUUUUAUUUUAAAACCUUCUAAGUUAUGUCAUGAAUGAUUGGAUAAACUGCUCUUACGAAUUGUGAAAUGUUUUAAAAGUUGCAGCCCACUAAGUACAUUAGUACUUAGCCCAAACAUUUUCAAAUAUUUUUUAGGUUGAUGGCUGGUGUUGACGGGGAGAGCUGAGGCUAGGGUUCAACUCCGUGUCUUGACUUCCGCUGUAGUACCAGCCUUUAUUUGUCUUUCGUUUCCCUGACUUAAGACUUUUAUGUUAUGACUCUAAAUGAUAUCUUUUGAUGAGCUUAGACUCUUGACUCUUAAGUAUUUCGAAGCAUAAAACUAAACUUGUGAUCCUGAAGUUGUUAUGUUUGUCGAUUGAUUAGUAUCGUUUAGAUAUCUGUCUUUCUUCAUCCAAAGGGGCGAUGCCCGAUUUAUCAUCCCAUUAUUCGUAUUUUACAAGGUUUUUCCCUUGUUCAUUUCAAUGAUUUAGUUGCACCUCAGUUAUAGUUAUUCCUUCAGAAAUUGGGGUGUGACAACUAAACUCAAGAAAAUUCUCAAAUAGGCAACAAUUAACCAAUUUAAUCAUUAAUAAACACUAUUAGUAUGCUCAAUAUCAUUUAUCGUAAGCCAAUUCAAACAAUUAACACAUAGACAUGAAAGCCCUAAAUUUUUGUUAAACUAAACUUUUUGAAAAUUCACAAAUGUGUAUGAAUCAUUAAUCCAAUCUUAGGUCCGUCAAUUUAGGUUACUUAAUAACAUAUAUAAGCCAUCAAUUAGCAAUUUAAGGCAUAGAGACACAUAUACCAAAUUCUCAUUAAACUAACUAUCAUCAAAAUUUUACCAUCAACUUCAAUCAUCAAUCUACUCCAUCAAAUAUCAUAUUAGUCAUCUCAUAAGCUCAUAUUCAUCAUCAAUUCAUCAUUUAAUCCAUAGAUUCAAGAAUUCCUAAUUUUAGACAAACUAACCUAAAUGGAAAAUCAUAUCUCAUGACAAAGCUUCGCAGUACACAUAAGAAUCAUCUCAAAAUAUCUCAAUAAACAUAAAUCUCAUGCCAACUUAAGAAAAGAAUAAGAAAUUUUUUUGAAGGGGAAGACCCCUAAAUUUUUGAAAAACUAAAUUUUUGAAAAAUUAGAGAGAGAGAGAGACAAAGAGAGAGAGAGAGAGAGUGUUUUCUUGCUUCAAUCAUACAUAUAUACACAUAUAUAACACCAUAGGAUUUAGAUCUAUGAAUUAAAGACACUUACUCAAAGGCUUUGAGAGAAAUGGAAAUUUCUUCUCUCUAACUUCAAGCUUCAAUCUCCAACAAUCUUCUUGAAUUCAAGUAUAUAGAGUGUUUAGGGCUUGAUUUUAAUGGUGGAUAAUAUCAUAGAAUUGAUUUAUGAAGCUUGGAAGUUCUUCUCUAAUGGAGUUUCAUGGAGGAAAGAGAGAUGAGAGAGAGAGGGGUGUGAGUGGCGUGAAUGAGGGAGAAGGGGAGUGAGAGGAUUUGUUUU